CGCUCGUAGUCGGAUUUCGGGGCGGGCCGACCGGUCUGCCGAUGGGUAUGCACUGGCCGGCGCGUCCUUCCACCCGGAGACCGCGCCUACUCUUAACUGAGCGGGCGCGGGAGACGGGUCUUUUACUUUGAAAAAAUCAGAGUGGUUCAAGCAGGCAGUCGCUCUUGCAUGGAUUAGCAUGGGAUAAUGAAAUAGGACUCUGGUGCUAUUUUGUUGGUUUCGAACACCGGAGUAAUGAUUAACAGGGACAGUCAGGGGCACUCGUAUUCCGCCGAGAGAGGUGAAAUUCUCAGACCAGCGAAAGACGAACCACUGCGAAAGCAUUUGCCAGGGAUGUUUUCACUGAUCAAGAACGAAAGUUAGGGGAUCGAAGACGAUCAGAUACCGUCGUAGUCUUAACCAUAAACCAUGCCGACUAGGGAUUGGAGGAUGUUCCAUUUGUGACUCCUUCAGCACCUUUCGGGAAACUAAAGUCUUUGGGUUCCGGGGGGAGUAUGGUCGCAAGGCUGAAACUUAAAGGAAUUGACGGAAGGGCACCACCAGGAGUGGAGCCUGCGGCUUAAUUUGACUCAACACGGGGAAACUUACCAGGUCCAGACAUUGUGAGGAUUGACAGAUUGAGAGCUCUUUCUUGAUUCGAUGGGUGGUGGUGCAUGGCCGUUCUUAGUUGGUGGAGUGAUUUGUCUGGUUAAUUCCGUUAACGAACGAGACCGCAGCCUGCUAAAUAGCGACG
This 733-nucleotide ribosomal RNA is filed under the name Emiliania huxleyi. RNAcentral describes it as "SSU rRNA". It matches the Rfam family "Eukaryotic small subunit ribosomal RNA", at positions 625 to 1363 of the family's 1831-position model. The record is from RNAcentral. Lineage: Eukaryota; Haptophyta; Isochrysidales; Noelaerhabdaceae.